CUGAUUGAUCCUGCCAGUAGUCAUAUGCUUGUCUCAAAGAUUAAGCCAUGCGUGUCUUAACAAGGAUCACUUGGAGGGCAAGUCUGGUGCCAGCAGCCACGGUAAUUCCAGCUCCAAUAGCGUAUAUU
This 128-nucleotide non-coding RNA is filed under the name Stegodyphus mimosarum. Its description in RNAcentral is "eukaryotic small subunit ribosomal RNA". It matches the Rfam family "Eukaryotic small subunit ribosomal RNA", at positions 4 to 605 of the family's 1831-position model. Lineage: Eukaryota; Metazoa; Arthropoda; Arachnida; Araneae; Eresidae. The record is from Rfam by way of RNAcentral.